GGGAGAGAAACUUAAAGGCAAGAGGUAAGCCAGUGGUCUCCAAAACCACCGUUAAGAGGUUCGAUUCCUCCCUCCCCUGCCA
Molecule: transfer RNA, 82 nt
Filed under: Bacillus phage vB_BceM_Bc431v3
Lineage: Duplodnaviria; Heunggongvirae; Uroviricota; Caudoviricetes; Herelleviridae
Description: tRNA-Trp
Rfam family: tRNA (bases 16-71)
About the family: Transfer RNA (tRNA) molecules are approximately 80 nucleotides in length.
Source: RNAcentral